AGCUCCAGUAGCGUAUAUUAAAGUUGUUGCGGUUAAAAAGCUCGUAGUUGGAUUUCUGCGCGGGACGGGUGGUCCUCUUCUUAAGAGUGAAUCUUCUUCGGCCUGUGCAUCUACCUGGAAAACGGAUUUGUGCUUGAUUGCAUGAUUCGUGUUUUAGGUCAUUUACUUUGAGGAAAUUAGAGUGUUCACAGCAUGCAAUUGCAUUGAAUAUAUUAGCAUGGGAUAAUAAUAUAAGACUGAGUUUUUAUUUUGUUGGUUUCUAAGAAUUCAGUAAUGAUAAAUAGGGGUUGUCGGGGGUACUUGUAUUAACGCGUCAGAGGUGGAAUUCUUGGAUUGCGUUACGACAAACUACUGCGAAAGCAUUUACCAAGGAUGUUUUCAUUGAUCAAGAACGAAAGUUAGAACG
RNAcentral lists this ribosomal RNA (406 nucleotides) under uncultured eukaryote. RNAcentral's name for it is "SSU rRNA". It matches the Rfam family "Eukaryotic small subunit ribosomal RNA", at positions 587 to 1000 of the family's 1831-position model. The record is from RNAcentral.